AAUAUUGGACAAUGGGGGGAACCCUGAUCCAGCCAUGCCGCGCGUGUGAAGAAGGNCUNNGGAUUNUNAAGCACUUUUAGUAGNNNNNAAGAGUUGUAGGCUAAUACCUUGCAAUUUUGACGUUACCAACAGUAUAAGCACCGGCUAACUUCGUGCCAGCAGCCGCGGUAAUACGAAGGGUGCAAGCGUUAAUCGGAAUUACUGGGCGUAAAGCGCGCGUAGGUGGUUCGUUAAGUUUGAAGUGAAAGCCCCGGGAUUAACCUGGGAAUUGCUUUCAAAACUGACGAGCUAGAGUACGGUAGAGGGUAGUGGAAUUUCCUGUGUAGCGGUGAAAUGCGUAGAUAUAGGAAGGAACACCAGUGGCGAAGGCGACCACCUGGGCUAAUACUGACACUGAGGUGCGAAAGCGUGGGGAGCAAACAGG
Molecule: ribosomal RNA, 424 nt
Filed under: uncultured bacterium
Lineage: Bacteria
Description: partial 16S ribosomal RNA
Rfam family: Bacterial small subunit ribosomal RNA
Source: RNAcentral